Molecule: long non-coding RNA, 3513 nt
Filed under: Daphnia pulex (common water flea)
Lineage: Eukaryota; Metazoa; Arthropoda; Branchiopoda; Diplostraca; Daphniidae
Description: uncharacterized LOC124201035, transcript variant X2
Source: RNAcentral
GUGAUGAAGUCCGCCAAAGAGAUUCGAACGGAAGCGGAUGGAAUCACCGUAACUGCUGACGAUCAGUUGCUGAUGGGCCGCAGCCGCAGCCGCUGCUGCCUGGGCGGCUUGAGACGGCAUCACGGAAUCAGCACUGGGUGCUGGACUUGUUGGGUGUGCAGCGGCCGGAACUGAGGGCAAAGGACGACUGGGCCUGGAACCGUCACCUUUUGGGGAAAGAGUCUACGAUCCUGGAACAAAAACACUGAGAUAUCGCGUUCGUUCACAGAGCACCAAGUCACUUUGCUGGUGGCUGGUGGUGGUGGUGGUGGGGGGGGGGGGGAGAGAACGUAGAGGAGCAAAGGGGGGCGGAGCCUCGACCCACUCGUGAUGAAGGCCAGCCAGUAGAGUGGCAGAGCUUUGUCCCGUCUCGCUCCAAUCCCGUGGGCGACUCGCUUCCAAAUGGGCGGAGUUUUUGUCACGACUAUCAGACAACUGCUGGACGACGACGGAUCUCUUUCGCCGGAUUGAUCUCUCGUCAUUUCGCUGCGUGCUGCGUCUAAUAUUCUUCCCUUUUCAAUUGUCGUGACUCGGAUCGUCACUUGACUCGAAUGAUGGCCGUCAUUUUUCAGCAUCGACUUUUCAACGGACGAUAAUAACAACCCCAAAAAAACGGCCGUCGCCUCGCAGCUACAACAUUCCGAUUCCGCUGGAUCACUUUUUCUUCUUCUGCCCAGUCUUGGGGCGUCGGGCGAAGGUUAAACAGAUGCAUGAACGAGCUUGCAUUAUGCUAAUGAAAUGGGCAGACAGCAGGGAGUUGAUUGGACCAACAUCAACGACCCAACUUUGAUGUGACAUCCAGGAGCAGCAGCAGCCGUCGGCGUCAAACACAAGAAGAAGAUGCAACAAAACAUGCCAACUUUUUCUCUGGCGUUUAAUGACGGCCCAGUUAGGAGCCGGGAAUCUUUUUUCCUUCUUCGUUGGGCGUCGGAUGCGCCGUCGUAAAAUAAGAAAAUAAGAAAAAAAGGGGGAAAAAGUCCCGACGACUUUGGGGGGCUCAGACUGGCGGGUCUUGUGCGGGCGCGUUGAGUGGAUUCGAAGCGGAAAACUGAGGUGUUUGCUCUCCUGCAAAAUGGAGGGUAGCUAGGGGUAGGGAGGGCUGGAUUUUCGUCCGGCUCGUGUUUGCUUAGCGUCGGAUAAAACGUGGCUAACGAGAGCUAACGAGGUUGGCAGAGCAAGCUCUUUUGCCGACGAGGCCUUGAUUCGAUUAGGAGACGCCAUUUGGUCUCGUCACCUAACAGCAUUAAGACUCGUUCCGUAAAAUCCAAAAAGGAUUUGUAUAUUCCGUCUGUCUUCUUCUUCCCUUUCUUUUUUAGAUUUCCCCCCUUUUUUUGUUUUGUCUGCUUUGUAGCCAGGAGCAUUCAGCAGCGUUCAAAGUUGUGUGUUUAUCCAAUGGCAGCGAUGCGUGCGUUUAUGCAGACUUUUUGUCCCCCCCACCCCGGUUACUGCUGGCUGCUGCUGGAUGCUGGAUGCUGGCUGCUGGUGCGGACGAGGAGGACGCUUUUGGACGCUUUAGGGACGGGCUACGAGGGUCUAAUCCGAUUGAGCGACUCGACUCUCUGUUGUAUAGUCGGUCGUCAUCGUUGUCGGACGCUCGGAAUAAUAAUCAAGUCAACAGACUGGCGACCCGUCGCCACUGUGUUGCUGCUGCUACUGCUGCGCUUGUCCUGCUGCUCUUUCCAGCUCCCAAAGUAUCAUCGAAGACAGCAGCAAAAACUGGAAUUGGAUUACUCUCGCUUUAAACGCAGCAUCGAGGAUUACAUUCGAGCCUCCUUUUCGCUCUCGUGCAUCGACAACUUCUCCACGGACGGGCCAGCACUGCUUCUCCUCCUGCGCUCCUGCUACUGCUGCCAAAGGAAAACUUUCAAUUGGCUAGAAUCAACACAGCUCGAUGACACAGAUGGCUUCACGACAAACGUGUUUCCUAGUGGCUCACAUCAGCCCUGAUUGGCCGUGGAAGCGUUCACUCUGUCUUCUCGACGAAUUCAUUUCGAUUUUACAGUUUUCUCCUUUUUUGAACCGACCUCGCAAUUAGGUUCCACGGCCCUCCGUCGCCGGUGAUAACUCGCUGCUAUGUUUACUCUAAAUUACAAAUAAUACUCUCUGUGAUUUUAGCGUGUUGUCAUUUUUUUGUAAUCGCCUUAUACGAUUAAUUAUUAAUUUUUCCUAUUGUUUUUCUCAAUUUUUUUCGAAAUGAUCGUUAACAUCACGAAAUAAUUUUGAAUCUUCCGUUUAAACGUAUGCCCGAAUGAAUUGGUUUGAUUGUCUUGUGAGGAAAAGUCGUUCAGUGUAAAACAAACAGUCCAACCGAAAUACGUAUAUGAUAUUAUUAGUUCAAACUUAGGGAAAUGCUUUACGAUUUUUAAAAACAGUGUUUUGAAUCUCCCUGGAAGUCGGUAUGCAAGUGUAAGUAUUUGCCGUGAUUGUUACACUUUCACGAUAAUGUUUUGAAUGCCGCGCGCCACAAAAAGUUUUACAUUUAUAUGCCAUCUACCGCUGACUAUUGACAACUUCUAUUGAAAGUGACAUCUAGUAUUGAUUACGGCAUCUGCUUCAGUUGCAGACGACGCAUUACGUUUGAAUGUGCAACUGACAUAAGAUUCAAAACUCAUUACCAGAUGUCGCUACUGUCAUUCUUGUUGUUCCUACGUCAUGAAACGAGACGAAAUGGGCGAAACAAAUUGUUGCUAAUUAUACUUAUAUUCCUGUGAUUUAAAAUACCAAAUUGAACUUCAUAUCUUUAUAAAUGCAUAGCUACUGUCAGUCAUCGCAACAAGUUGCUGACUUAGCACUCAGUCACUUUCCAUCCAUUAGAUCCUCAUGCUGUCAAAAGCCUAAAACCCAUGUUUGAAGCACACAUAUAGUGGAAUACAAAUGUGUGGAUUUCCCAUUACUGCUACAACACAUACCACGCCACAUCAGAUGCCUUACUAAAUCAUCACCCACAUGAAAAAGGAAAUUUAUCCCACCUGAGGAGUAAUGCGGUUGUUUGCUGUAAUUCCAUUACUAAGGUUUUUCAUCAUGAACAUUUCAGUGUGCUUCUUAGAAAAUAGCACGUAAGAUCCCCACGGACAUCCUUGAGCCAAUGCUGGAUUUGUCCAUGACAGAAGAGGGAUUUCCACCAACGUUCUUUCUCCAUCCUUAUCUUCAAGACGUACGCUCAUCCAGCUUCACUACUUCAGUGCUUCUUAUGCUGCUAGCCUGCUACACAACUUUUCUUGCUUUCUUUGUGAGUUGGAUCACUUCAGUUGCUGUGACACACCUACAGUCACUCACCACGGGAUUAUGGCCAGGUGAAGCAGAGGAAACGUCGAGAAGAUGGACACCAAAACGUCGCCGGUAUCUCUAAAAUGUCAUCGCGGAUCAUCAUGUGUUGUUGGUAAUAUGUUUGUGUCUGUGUUAGUUAACCCGUUGGCUGCCACGCCUUUGUUCUCCCCUGCACGGGCCGCGCUGUUCGGUCUCGUGGUUUACAAG